This 40-nucleotide ribosomal RNA is filed under the name Alternaria chlamydospora. Its description in RNAcentral is "partial 18S ribosomal RNA". Lineage: Eukaryota; Fungi; Ascomycota; Dothideomycetes; Pleosporales; Pleosporaceae. The record is from RNAcentral.
AACAAGGUCUCCGUAGGUGAACCUGCGGAGGGAUCAUUAC